RNAcentral lists this ribosomal RNA (464 nucleotides) under uncultured bacterium. RNAcentral describes it as "partial 16S ribosomal RNA". It matches the Rfam family "Bacterial small subunit ribosomal RNA", at positions 339 to 795 of the family's 1533-position model. The record is from RNAcentral.
CCACGGGUUGCUGCAGUGGGGAAUAUUGCACAAUGGGCGCAAGCCUGAUGCAGCCAUGCCGCGUGUAUGAAGAAGGCCUUCGGGUUGUAAAGUACUUUCAGCGGGGAGGAAGGGAGUAAAGUUAAUACCUUUGCUCAUUGACGUUACCCGCAGAAGAAGCACCGGCUAACUCCGUGCCAGCAGCCGCGGUAAUACGGAGGGUGCAAGCGUUAAUCGGAAUUACUGGGCGUAAAGCGCACGCAGGCGGUUUGUUAAGUCAGAUGUGAAAUCCCCGGGCUCAACCUGGGAACUGCAUCUGAUACUGGCAAGCUUGAGUCUCGUAGAGGGGGGUAGAAUUCCAGGUGUAGCGGUGAAAUGCGUAGAGAUCUGGAGGAAUACCGGUGGCGAAGGCGGCCCCCUAGACGAAGACUGACGCUCAGGUGCGAAAGCGUGGGGAGCAAACAGGAUUAGAUACCCCAGUAGUC